RNAcentral lists this transfer RNA (70 nucleotides) under Ixodes scapularis (black-legged tick). RNAcentral's name for it is "tRNA-Gly". Lineage: Eukaryota; Metazoa; Arthropoda; Arachnida; Ixodida; Ixodidae. The record is from RNAcentral.
GCCCGUGGCCAAACGGUUAGCGCGGUUGCCUUCCACGCAAAAGCCAUGGCUCAAUUCCUGGCCGCGGGCA